RNAcentral lists this ribosomal RNA (479 nucleotides) under Hylophorbus picoides. Its description in RNAcentral is "partial 16S ribosomal RNA". Lineage: Eukaryota; Metazoa; Chordata; Amphibia; Anura; Microhylidae. The record is from RNAcentral.
AUUUAGGAAAAGGAUUUUAGUCCAAUUUUAAUUCUUUACGUAACAUCAAAUACACCUACAGACUUAAAAUUCACUCAAAUAAGGUACAGCCUAUUUGAAACAGGAUACAACCUCCUAUAGAGGGUAAUGCUCAAACAAAUGUGACAAAGUAGGCCUGAAAGCAGCCACCUUCUAAAAAGCGUUAAAGCCUUAUCACAUCCAACUACAAAUACCAACUUAAACCCAAAACCCCUUACCCCUACUAAAUGACUUCAUAUUUAUAUGAAAACCAUUAUGUUAGAACUAGUAACAAGAAUAUCUAUUCUCCUAAAAAUGUAAGUGUAGGUCGAAAUGGACUACCCAUCGACACUCACCGCUAAUGAGCCUAUAGUAAUAACUUCCCCAAGAAAAGUCUACUUUUUUCAGCGUUAACCUUACACAAGAACUUUUCUAGAAAGAUUAAAAAAAGAGGAAGGAACUCGGCAAACAUUAACCUCGCC